AGACGUCUACAUUAGAUACCCCCGUAGUCCCAGCCGUAAACGAUGCGCGUUAGGUGUAUCGACGACCACGAGUCGUCGAGGUGCCGAAGGGAAACCGUGAAACGUGCCGCCUGGGAAGUACGGUCGCAAGGCUGAAACUUAAAGGAAUUGGCGGGGAGCACCACAACGGGUGGAGCCUGCGGUUUAAUUGGACUCAACGCCGGGAAGCUCACCGGAUAAGACAGCGGAAUGAUUGCCGGGCUGAAGACUCUGCAUGACUAGCUG
This 264-nucleotide ribosomal RNA is filed under the name uncultured archaeon. Its description in RNAcentral is "partial 16S ribosomal RNA". It matches the Rfam family "Archaeal small subunit ribosomal RNA", at positions 714 to 982 of the family's 1478-position model. The record is from RNAcentral.